AACGAACGCUGGCGGCAGGCCUAACACAUGCAAGUCGAGCGAUCCUUCGGGAUAGCGGCGGACGGGUGAGUAACGCGUGGGAAUAUGCCCUUCACUACGGAAUAGCCCAGGGAAACUUGGAUUAAUACCGUAUACGCCCUUUGGGGGAAAGAUUUAUCGGUGAAGGAUUAGCCCGCGUUGGAUUAGGUAGUUGGUGGGGUAAUGGCCUACCAAGCCUACGAUCCAUAGCUGGUUUGAGAGGAUGAUCAGCCACACUGGGACUGAGACACGGCCCAGACUCCUACGGGAGGCAGCAGUGGGGAAUCUUAGACAAUGGGGGCAACCCUGAUCUAGCCAUGCCGCGUGAGUGAUGAAGGCCUUAGGGUUGUAAAGCUCUUUCAGCUGGGAAGAUAAUGACGGUACCAGCAGAAGAAGCCCCGGCUAACUCCGUGCCAGCCGCCGCCGUAACAC
RNAcentral lists this ribosomal RNA (450 nucleotides) under uncultured bacterium. RNAcentral describes it as "bacterial SSU rRNA". It matches the Rfam family "Bacterial small subunit ribosomal RNA", at positions 29 to 526 of the family's 1533-position model. The record is from RNAcentral.